Molecule: ribosomal RNA, 472 nt
Filed under: uncultured bacterium
Lineage: Bacteria
Description: bacterial SSU rRNA
Rfam family: Bacterial small subunit ribosomal RNA
Source: RNAcentral
GGCGAACGGGUGAGUAAUACAUGGUCAACCUACCCCCGAGACCGGGAUAGCCAUCCGAAAGGAUGGGUAAUACCGGAUAGGACCACGGCCCCGCAUGGGGCUGAGGUGAAACGGUUGGGGUCCUUCGGGACCUUCCGCUCAGGGAUGGGACCAUGCCCUAUCAGCUAGUUGGCGGGGUAACGGCCCACCAAGGCUUCGACGGGUAGCCGGCCUGAGAGGGUGUCCGGCCACACUGGAACUGAGACACGGUCCAGACUCCUACGGGAGGCAGCAGUGCUGAAUCAUUCGCCAAUGCGCGAAAGCGUGACGGUGCGACGCCGCGUGGAGGAUGAAGGCCUUCGGGUUGUAAACUCCUGUCAGGGUGCAGAAAACCGCAGAUGUGAAUAGCAGCUGCGCUGAUCACACCCAAAGGAAGCACAGGCUAACCUCGUGCCAGCAGCCGCGGUAAGACGAGGUGUGCAAGCGUUGCUCG